This 595-nucleotide ribosomal RNA is filed under the name uncultured bacterium. RNAcentral's name for it is "bacterial SSU rRNA". It matches the Rfam family "Bacterial small subunit ribosomal RNA", at positions 264 to 858 of the family's 1533-position model. The record is from RNAcentral.
CUUACCAAGGCUAUGAUGUUUAGGGGUCCUGUGAGGGUGGUCCCCCACACUGGUAGUGAGACACUGACCAGAGUCGUACCGGAGGCAGCAGUGAGGAAUAUUUGUCAAUGGGCGCAAGCCUGAACCAGCCAUCCCGCGUGCAGGAAGACGGCCUUAUGGGUUGUAAAAUGCUUUUCCAGGGAGAGAAACUUACGCACGUGUUGCGUGACUGACGGUACCCUGGGAAUAAGCAUCGGCUAACUCCGUGCCAGCAGCCGCGGUAAUACGGAGGAUGCAAGCGUUAUCAGGAUUCAUUGGGUUUAAAGGGUGCGUAGGCGGGCUAUUAAGUCAGUGGUGAAAUCCUGCAGCUUAACUGCAGAACUGCCGUUGAUACUGAUAGUCUUGAGUUUGGUUAAGGUAGGCGGAAUGUGUAAUGUAGCGGUGAAAUGAUUAGAUAUUACACAGAACACCAAUUGAGUAGGCAGUUUACUGAGCCGACACUGACGAUGAGGCACGAAAGCGUGGGGAUCAAACAGGAUUAGAUACCCUGGUAGUCCACGCCGUAAACGAUGAUUACUCGCUGUUGGCGAUACACUGUCAGCGGCUAAGCAAAAGC